RNAcentral lists this ribosomal RNA (165 nucleotides) under uncultured bacterium. RNAcentral's name for it is "partial 16S rRNA". It matches the Rfam family "Bacterial small subunit ribosomal RNA", at positions 355 to 511 of the family's 1533-position model. The record is from RNAcentral.
UAGGGAAUCUCCGGCAAUGGACGAAAGUCUGACCGAGCAACGCCGCGUGAGUGAAGAAGGUUUUCGGAUCGUAAAACUCUGUUGGUAGAGAAGAACGUUGGUGAGAGUGGAAAGCUCAUCAAGUGACGGUAACUACCCAGAAAGGGACGGCUAACUACGUGCCAC